Molecule: ribosomal RNA, 253 nt
Filed under: uncultured bacterium
Lineage: Bacteria
Description: partial 16S ribosomal RNA
Rfam family: Bacterial small subunit ribosomal RNA
Source: RNAcentral
UACGGAGGGUGCAAGCGUUAUCCGGAUUUACUGGGUUUAAAGGGUGUGUAGGCGGGCUAUUAAGUCUGGGGUGAAAUCUCUGAGCUCAACUCAGAAACUGCCUUGGAUACUAUUAGUCUUGAAUCAUGUUGAGGUUGGCGGAAUAUAACAUGUAGCGGUGAAAUGCAUAGAUAUGUUAUAGAACACCGAUUGCGAAGGCAGCUGGCUAAACAUGCAUUGACGCUGAGGCACGAAAGCGUGGGGAUCAAACAGG